GACGAACGCUGGCGGCGUGCUUAACACAUGCAAGUCGAACGGAAAGGCACUGCUUUUGUGGGGUGCUCGAGUGGCGAACGGGUGAGUAACAUGUGAGUAACCUGCCCUUGACUUUGGGAUAACUUCAGGAAACUGGGGUUAAUCUCGGAUAGGAGCUCCUGCUGCAUGGAGGGGGUUGGAAAGUUUCGGCGGUUGGGGAUGGACUCGCGGCUUAUCAGCUUGUUGGUGGGGUAGUGGCUUACCAAGGCUUUGACGGGUAGCCGGCCUGGGUGGGUGACCGGCCACAUGGGGACUGAGGUACGGCCCAGAGUCCAACAGGGGGCAGCGGUGGGGAAUAUUGCACAAUGGGCGGAAGCCUGAUGCAGCAACGCCGCGUGCGGGAUGACGGCCUUCGGGUUGUAAACCGCUUUCGCCUGUGACGAAGCGUGAGUGACGGUAAUGGGUGAAGAAGCACCGGCUAACUACGUG
RNAcentral lists this ribosomal RNA (468 nucleotides) under uncultured bacterium. Its description in RNAcentral is "partial 16S ribosomal RNA". It matches the Rfam family "Bacterial small subunit ribosomal RNA", at positions 28 to 507 of the family's 1533-position model. The record is from RNAcentral.